GCCGCCAGUGCAAUAAUAGGAAAACAAACCUAUUGUUUAAUCACAUCGCUCAUCAGUCACGUGCACGUGAUCAAAUCUUGCCACCAAAAAGUAACAUUUGGGACUUUUUUAUAAAAAGUGGUCGAUUUUCUAAAUGUAAAAUCUGCCAGGAAGAUGUAAAAACAUCUGGAAAUACAACUAAUUUACAUUUUCACAUGAAACGUUAUCAUCCCGAAGUUGAAAUGAGAAAAUCUGCAGUAUCUCUCAAGAGAAAGACACAAAUAUCCGAAAUAGACAACGAAGAUGUUAUCGAUAUUGAUGACCCAGACUCAUUUCCGACACCGUCUAGUCCGUGUCCGUCUACAUCAUCAGAAACGCGAUCAGUAUCGGUUUCACCAAGUCUAAUUGUUUCUAAACCUUCUAAACAAAA
Temnothorax curvispinosus is the source of this 409-nucleotide long non-coding RNA. RefSeq lists it as uncharacterized. NCBI's taxonomy places the organism in Eukaryota, Metazoa, Arthropoda, Insecta, Hymenoptera, Formicidae. The transcript is spliced from 3 exons. The record is from RefSeq and is a predicted model, not a curated record.